UAGCAGAAGACAGUGACCGCUGUCCGAAUUCCCUUACUAAAAAGGGGUACGGAGAGAGGAAAGUCCGGGCUCCUUCGGAAGGAAUGCCGGUUAAUAACCGGGCGUAAAAUCUGGUAACAGGUUUUACGACAGAUAGUGCAACAGAAAACAAACCGCUCUUUAAGGAGUAAGGGUGAAAAGGUGAGGUAAGAGCUCACCGGGCAUUUGGUAACAAAUGUCGCAUUGCAAACCUCAUUUGGAGCAAAACCAAGCAGUAGCUAAAUCUUCCGAUAAGGAGAACGAAAGUUUUCCAUAGCUACGGGUAGGUUGCUAGAGGUGUAGGGUAAUCUGCACCUUAGAUAGAUGGUCACGCCGAUUUAUCGGUUACAGAACCCGGCUUAGGUCUUCUGCUUUUUU
Molecule: RNase P RNA, 396 nt
Filed under: Spirochaetaceae bacterium
Lineage: Bacteria; Pseudomonadati; Spirochaetota; Spirochaetia; Spirochaetales; Spirochaetaceae
Description: RNase P RNA component class A
Rfam family: Bacterial RNase P class A
About the family: Ribonuclease P (RNase P) is a ubiquitous endoribonuclease, found in archaea, bacteria and eukarya as well as chloroplasts and mitochondria. Its best characterised activity is the generation of mature 5'-ends of tRNAs by cleaving the 5'-leader elements of precursor-tRNAs.
Source: RNAcentral